GACAGAGGCCUCAAGCGUUAGGCGGAAUCACUGGGCUUAAAGCGUGUGUAGGCGGAUCGUUAAGUGCCUUGUGAAAUCCCACGGCUUAACUGUGGAACGGCUGGGCAUACUGGCGGUCUUGAGCCAUCUAGGGGCGACUGGAACAAACGGUGGAGCGGUGAAAUGCGUAGAUAUCGUAAGGAAGACCAGUGGCGAAGGCGGGUCUCUGGACAGUUCCUGACGCUGAGGCACGAAGGCCAGGGGAGCAAACGGG
RNAcentral lists this ribosomal RNA (253 nucleotides) under uncultured bacterium. RNAcentral describes it as "partial 16S ribosomal RNA". It matches the Rfam family "Bacterial small subunit ribosomal RNA", at positions 524 to 776 of the family's 1533-position model. The record is from RNAcentral.